UUCAUGUAGUCGGGGUUCUACCUGGUUCGGUUCUUCAUGUGGUCAGGGUUCUACCUGGCCUGGUUGUUCAUGUGGUCAGGGUUCUGCCUGGUUGUUCAUGUGGUCAGGGUUCUACCUGGCCUGGUUGUUCAUGUGGUCAGGGUUCUACCUGGCCUGGUUGUUCAUGUGGUCAGGGUUCUACCUGGUUCGGUUGUUCAUGUGGUCAGGGUUCUACCUGGCCUGGGGUUCUUCAUCCGGGCGUGAUCAGGGUGACGAGGCAUACCAUGUGUGAGCGUGAUGACAUGGGGAUACGCACUUAUUAUACAUCACAACAUUUUAGGAAAUGGUCCUUCAAGCUUGAAAGACGGCGACGUGGCUGCCCUUUCUAGCCCCGACAUGAUGGUUGGCUGGCAGGCCCUGUGGGUUGUAUCUUCUGGACUCCUGUGCUGGGAUGCAAGUUUUUCUUGGGCUGAAUUGCAAUGCAUUUGUCGAUGCUAGCUGGACCUGGGAGUUGGGUCCCCCUUUGAAUCAGAAACCAUCUUGGUAACAUCCCAACUAGGGUUCUCUUCAUGCUGUAACCAAGCUCUUCUUCAGCUGAGGAGGAAAAGAAAUCCUCGCUGGGGCUUCAAGAUCUAUGAAGAGGAAUAUUGAAAUGUGUGCAAUGGUUCCCUCCCGUAGGCGCUGUGGUGUAUUCUAGUCGCUGAGAAAGAGCCCUUGCAUCCUACCAAUGGCGUCUCUCCUUAGGGAGUCCCUGUCACAGUCUUGACGGAUGUUCCAGGUCAUGUAACUGAUGCAACAGCCCUUUUGAACACUGUUUCUCCGGAGGGGGGCACGUCUACAGAACAGUAGACUUCAGACAGCACAGUAUCCUAACAUGCAUCUCUGGCCACUCGGACCACACCCGGAUCAAUAUGACAAUGCUCAUGCGAUGUGAAGCGAGGAAGUAGCCAAAAGACAGAUUAGUUAGCUUUUUUGUACACUGGCAAGCAUUGUUAAUUGGUAGGUAAUUAGUUAAAUGGGGUAACUGAAAUGUUUAGUCAAAAUGUUUUGUACAUAAACCAACAGCAACAAACUACCAGAUCGCCUCAAGGUAAGUCUGUUGGCUGUAUUUUGCACUGAGACGACCACAAGAUCUUCAUCGUCGUUCAGCUCAAGGUGAGGUGCUGGUUACGUUACUUAGGGAUGGUUCGUACUGGAACGUUACGAUUCCAGUAUGACGGGGCUUGGGGUUUCUGUAGAGGUUGGUAGUUAGUUUUGUGCAGUCUGUGAAGCUCUAAUGCUGCAGUACUGUGUGGUGGAGGAUAACUGGCAGUACGAUCAGGAUUGGCAAUUGCGUUAUGUCAUCCACACCUUAUUAUGGCGUCUGGCAGUAUGAUCAAUAUUGGCAUUUGCGUAAACCUCAUAACUAAUGAGCGUACCCAAUUAAGGUAAUCUGGCAGUGCCCCAUUUCUAUAGGUAAUCAUCUGCGAUUAUUGGUAAAUCCUUAUGCACUAGAAAUUAGGAAGGGCACUCUUAAAAUAUAUAUAUUUUUAAUUAUCCCACAAAACACCGCAAACUACUUUGAUAACUGCGCUCUACAAUCAACUCUCGAUUUUCUGCGCAUACAUUUAUCGGGUUGCGUAAAAGAUGGAGACGACGGCAUUUACCUACUACGGCUUUUUAUUUCUUCAACAACCCAGCAGCUGAAUGUGGCCAAGUAUCAUUUUACUAUCUAAAUUACUAUUGAUAUUGCUAGUGUUCUAAAUAUCUGGGCUGUGAUUUGCUCAAUAUAGUUUCUGCUAGACUUCAGAAACAAAAGGAAGGGUUAAAUGUAAGUGUGCUUAUUCACGUAUUAUCAAAUGGUAUAGCUGUUUAGAAAAGUAAAGGCAGUGAUGUAAAGCGCGUCGUGGUGUUUUUAAAUGGAUGAAUGUUGUGCUAACAGACGGGGGGAGACUCCAGGCCUUGCAGUCCUGAUCCUGUAUGACGCAGAAGAGGUCAAUCCAACCGCACAUUGAUCUCUGCAGCGUGGUCGGUGGGAGGAGAUGUGGCCGAGCUGUUGAACCAGGCUCUAUCGGUACCCGAUGGCCUUGGCUGAUGGAGGAACUGCAUCUGGAGGACGACCAUGAAUCUACCUGCCAACAGGUGGUACUGGUUUGCACUGGUUUGCAUGAACUGAACAUGGUGGACAUGAGGCAAAUUCCCUGCUUUUUGCUCCAGACCAGGACUCUGUGAGGGGUGGUGAUGGAGCCGUGCUGAGGACCCGCUGGUGAAGGACGUCCCUCGGUGGGGGGGCAAGGACAGCCGACCCUGAGGAUCCGCUCGGAUGUACGAUCGCUACGAUGCGACUGCAGAGGUCUCUGGAAGACCAGGAGUCCUUGGCUGAGGAGAGCUGAUGGAGGAGCCGUGCACCUGGAGAACCAUGAGUCUGCCUGCCAACAAGUAGUACUGGGAUAGGGAGGUGAUGGAGGACCUGCCUGGUGAAGGACGUCAGGGUGGGGCGAGUGACACCCGACUCCAAGGGGAUAUCCACUGAGGAGAGAGCUGAGGGAGCCAUGCAUCUGGAAGUUGAAAUGCUGUGUCCAGUCUGGGACAGACAGACCUGAGCUGCGUCAAGCCUGUAUCUCUGACCAGCUGGAGUCCCUUAGUGAUCAACAACCGCCACUCAUCGCUGGCCUGUGGAUUCAUCUCCUUCACACUCACACAUCAGGACUUUGGCCUGUGGAUUCAUCUCCUCCACACUCACACAACAGGACUCUGGCCUGUGGAUUCAUCUCCUCCACACUCGCGCAACGUGACCUUCUCACCAUCUGUUGCACGUUUGGAUGCACCUAGCGUGUUCCAUCGAGGGUUCCUUCCUCCCCACGGUGGGAGGGUUCCUUGUCCUUCAAGGCGUCGGGGUUCAGUGUUAGGGACAGAGUUAGGGACAGAUGGCUGCGCUGGAUUCACGAUACACGCUUUGUGAUCAAAAUGGGUUCGGACAUCGGACAAAUCGCUUCCCAAAAUGUUUCAAUGUGCAAACGAUUUUAUAAAAUGUAUACUUGUGGUGUUUAUAUAAAAUCGUA
Molecule: long non-coding RNA, 3020 nt
Organism: Gadus chalcogrammus (walleye pollock)
Lineage: Eukaryota; Metazoa; Chordata; Actinopteri; Gadiformes; Gadidae
Exons: 8
Source: RefSeq, a predicted model, not a curated record